UGCGCGCCGCCCGCCUGAGGGGCGGCCCGGGAGCACCGGGAAUAGCGGGAAUAGCGGGUGCUUUCCGGGCACACACCGGCAGCCCCGGGCACAGCCCGCCGGCCACGAAGGCCAGGCACACCGGGCGCAUCAGCAGUGGCACCGGGCACCCCAACACCGGGCACGCCGGGUGUCGCCGAGCACCGGGAAGACGAGGCACCGCGGGUACACCACACCGGCCCUGGCCUCCCGCAGGCACCGGGCUCUGUGGUGCUUUCCGAGUGUCCCUCCCCAGGAAUCCCUUCCCGGGACAGCUGUGUUUUACUGGCCUUCCUUGCAAUAUCAUUGCUUGAUACUAGAGUGGAAAGAAGUCCCAGCUGCCAGCACGGCUGAAUGGUUGCCAAUGUAACCAUAAUUGAAAAAAACAAACCAAACAACAAAACCAAACCAGACAGUGUUGGGAAGGGUGACUGACUGACCGUGUGCCAGAAUAACGGAGUUAGCUGCCACGUACAUCGGUCGUGGAGGUGCAGCCCCUGGGCCUCUGAACGACUGCAAGGUGUGUGAGGGCUCCAGCUGCAUGUACUGCUACUCCAGGGAGCAAGAACAGUGUAAAAGAUAACACUUUGUCACCGUUUGACACAGAGCUCCUUGUUCAUUGCCCUGCGAGGGGAGCUCGGGAUGCAGGCAGCUCUCUGCUGUCACCUGCAGAAUGGCAUGUGGUACCUGUGCAUAACAUGCAGGGGCACAGCCUCCCUCUUGUUCCCUGUUGCUACUGCAGCCUUGAGGUUUUGUGGGAAAGCCUGUUCUAAAAUUGCUCAUAAAUGGGUUUUCUGGCUGUUACAUUAAGCUGGAUUACACAGCAUACCACAUUGAUUUUUAGAUUUGAGAGUGCUGAAUAAUUUAUGUGCACAUUGCCUCCCAAACCAGACUGUGGCUGUGACAGCCCUGGCCCUUCCCAGAGCAGACACUGACAACUGUGGUAGGAUACAGCCAAACUAUCAAUUCUCUUACAUUUUAGUAUCUGCUCUUAAAAAGGCAGGUCAUUUCUAUCAUCAUUUUGUUACUGAGGCUUUAUUUUAAAGUGUCCAGGAGUGUUAUCCCACUGCAAGCACAAAGCAUGAUUUUUAGAGCUACUGUUCCUUAAAACGUGCUUUUGCUAUCAUUCCAUUUUAACAUGGCCAUAUAUAACGAUAUCCAAUUGUUUGAUACAAGCAUGAGUACACAGAAACAGCAAAAGGAAGAUUGUCUUUUUAUGAACCAUGAAGCUGUUUAUCAUAUAUCUAAAUAAAACCCUUUUUCAGACCUCUUAUCAAAUUGAAUUGGCUUGUGCCAUUCAAGCACUUCUAUUUUUCACAUGUAUAUUGUAGAAUACAUUUAAAAAUAAAAGUGGAUGUUGGCACAGAA
Long non-coding RNA from Pyrgilauda ruficollis (rufous-necked snowfinch), 1386 nucleotides. RefSeq lists it as uncharacterized. Lineage: Eukaryota; Metazoa; Chordata; Aves; Passeriformes; Passeridae. The transcript has 4 exons. The record is from RefSeq and is a predicted model, not a curated record.